Long non-coding RNA from Perognathus longimembris pacificus (Pacific pocket mouse), 921 nucleotides. RefSeq lists it as uncharacterized. NCBI's taxonomy places the organism in Eukaryota, Metazoa, Chordata, Mammalia, Rodentia, Heteromyidae. The transcript is spliced from 2 exons. The record is from RefSeq and is a predicted model, not a curated record.
UUCUGAAUCUGUCUUUUUAUUUACCUCCUCUGCCACUGCUCUGGCAUAGAUCAUGUUCUUUUCUCACCUGGGUUACUGAGAUGAUUUCCACAGUCCCUCUGUCUUCAGAACCUCCUGCUUCCAUCUGUCUUUGCACUGUGUAUGAUAAGGCUCCGACUUCCUAGGAGGCGCAGUGCAGCCAUUUGCAAUUAGUUUAGCUCCCCAGCCUUCUUCAGGUGCCAUAUGUUUAAAGUACUUCACCUGCUCACAAUGUGCUUUAAUGCUUCUGUCUCAGCUUACUCAUUCUCUCAACCAGGGAUGCUCUUCUCUCUUACAGUUCAACAUACCUAGAAGAAAUCAUUUCUGUUUUGUGGUCACUUGAUCAAAUAAAUUUUUGCUCUGCAUUUUCAGAAUGUAUGUUAAAAUUUCUUAUAUACCUCUAGAAUAGAAUAUAUUCACGUGUGUGUGUGUGUGUGUGUGUGUGUGUGUGUGUGUGUGUUUGUGUGAAUGUGGACAGAUCCAUGCAUACCACCCCCCAUGCUAUCACUUGAAAGAAGCUCUUUAUGAAGCAAGUGUCUAAUCAACUUUCCUGUGACCCCUUCUCCAUUCACUAUUCACUAUUCUACCUCUUCCAUUCAUUGGUAUUGUUCCAGGUAUUGUAAGCAAAGAACUUUAUUCCUUGCACCACUUUUCAGACUCCACCAAACCAGCUCUCUGUAAAUUUCAAAGUUUGGGAGCUGAGCUCUGGUGGCUCACACCUGUAAUCCUACUUACUAAAGAUGACACCUUGAGCAUUGUGGUUCCAAGCCAGCCAAGGUAGAAAAGUCUGCAAAACUCCAUCUCCAAUUAACUAGCAGAAAUUAGGGUGAGAGGCAUAGUUUAAGUAGUGAAGCACUAGCUCCUAGUAUGCAAACUCUGAGUUCAAGUCCUAGUAUCACAGGG